RNAcentral lists this transfer RNA (65 nucleotides) under Dipodomys ordii (Ord's kangaroo rat). It matches the Rfam family "tRNA". From Rfam's summary of the family: Transfer RNA (tRNA) molecules are approximately 80 nucleotides in length. The record is from Rfam by way of RNAcentral. Lineage: Eukaryota; Metazoa; Chordata; Mammalia; Rodentia; Heteromyidae.
GGUGGCUCAGUGGUAGAGUGCUUGCCUAGUAUGCAUGAAGCCCUGGGUUCGAUUCCUCAGUACCA